GGGUUUAAUUCGAUGAUACGCGAGGAACCUUACCCGGGCUUGAAUUGCAGAGGAAGGAUUUGGAGACAAUGACGCCCUUCGGGGCCUCUGUGAAGGUGCUGCAUGGUUGUCGUCAGCUCGUGCCGUGAGGUGUCGGCUUAAGUGCCAUAACGAGCGCAACCCCUCUCCUUAGUUGCCAUCAGGUAAAGCUGGGCACUCUGGGGACACUGCCACCGUAAGGUGUGA
Molecule: ribosomal RNA, 225 nt
Filed under: uncultured bacterium
Lineage: Bacteria
Description: partial 16S ribosomal RNA
Rfam family: Bacterial small subunit ribosomal RNA
Source: RNAcentral